UUCAGGCAGACAUCCACCUGCAAACACUUGGCAAUUCAAAAGCUACUGACAAAAUAAGUUGCAGAGAGAUUCGGGUGACUUGUAUAAUUUAAAUUUGAUCCUACAUAAUUCUCUUUCUUUUUCUCUUCCACAGAUUAUGUUUUUCAUGUGGUUCUUGACUGUGCUUCUUGCUGAGAAUGCGCUGUACCCUCAGUCCUUUUUGACCAGACUUCAGCUGUUUGUCUUCUUUGGCCUUUAUCCAGCUUAUGCAAUUCUGUGAUUAUGCGGCACAAUGAAUAUGCAAGUGAACCAUACCUCUGCACUGCAUGCCACACAUCUUUCAGUCUACUUCAUCAGGCAACCAGGCUAAGGGCUUCAGAGGAACUGUCUUCGUUUCCAAGUAAUAUUUCUCUCAGAAGAAUGAAUACUACACACCCUACCAAAUAUCUGGAUCAACAGCUGCGUGGCACUGAAGAGCUAUUGUUCAUGUAGAAGCAAUCCUUUGAGAAGUGACCAAAAUUGGUAUCUUUCCUCAUCUUAAAAUGUUGCAGGCAUUUUUCUUUUUCAUGUGCUUGCUCUGGCCCUUCUCCACACAGUCUAAAUAUAAAAUAACCAUGAUUAACCAAUCCCUAAUAGCUGAGUGUGCAGCUGGCCCUUAAUGCCCUCUGUGCUAGAGUUUCCCUAAUCUCCAUAGGCAAUUUCUUUCAGGGCUCAA
Molecule: non-coding RNA, 694 nt
Organism: Coturnix japonica (Japanese quail)
Lineage: Eukaryota; Metazoa; Chordata; Aves; Galliformes; Phasianidae
Source: RefSeq, a predicted model, not a curated record